GCGGAUGUGGCGGAACUGGCAGACGCGCAGGCUUCAGGUGCCUGUGGGCAUUAGCCCGUGGAGGUUCGAAUCCUCUCAUCCGCA
Molecule: transfer RNA, 84 nt
Organism: Phycisphaerae bacterium
Lineage: Bacteria; Pseudomonadati; Planctomycetota; Phycisphaerae
Rfam family: tRNA
About the family: Transfer RNA (tRNA) molecules are approximately 80 nucleotides in length.
Source: Rfam